GUCAAGUAUUUCUGCUCAUAACUCAGAAAAACUAUUUUGGCUUCAUCAAAUCAUAGGCCUUCAUCAUAGCAGUUAGCCUUCCAGUUUAUUUAUAGUUCAAUCAUAGGCAGCCCAGCAAAAUGUGUAAAAAUGCAUUAAACGCUUAAAAAUACGUAUAAAGUUCGUCACAAUUUGCUAUCAAGCGAUUUAUUUGUGUAGCUCAUUAUACAUGCAGAUUCCGAUGUUUACGUCAUUGUAUUUUCAUAUAGUAUA
Non-coding RNA from Paramuricea clavata, 252 nucleotides. The record is from the annotation of a GenBank genome assembly. Lineage: Eukaryota; Metazoa; Cnidaria; Anthozoa; Malacalcyonacea; Plexauridae.